ACUAGAGAUCAUGAGAAGAAUUCUUUCUUCUCUUUUCUUUCUAAAACUCAUGCACCAAAUCUCUAUGCUAGAGAUGUAAAAAUUUUAUCCAACUCUUGGACAAAGAGAAGAGAAAAAUCUAUAUCCAAAUAUGGACAAAAGAGAGAGAGAGAUAUCCUAACAACCAACCUUUGGUAAUUCAUAAGAAAGAAGGGAUAGGAGCACAAAUACCUCACGCCCA
This 220-nucleotide long non-coding RNA is filed under the name Elaeis guineensis (African oil palm). RNAcentral describes it as "long non-coding RNA (EGUI_LNC021671)". The record is from RNAcentral. Lineage: Eukaryota; Viridiplantae; Streptophyta; Magnoliopsida; Arecales; Arecaceae.